Molecule: ribosomal RNA, 253 nt
Filed under: uncultured bacterium
Lineage: Bacteria
Description: partial 16S ribosomal RNA
Rfam family: Bacterial small subunit ribosomal RNA
Source: RNAcentral
UACGUAGGGUGCAAGCGUUGUCCGGAAUUAUUGGGCGUAAAGAGCUCGUAGGCGGUUUGUCGCGUCUGCUGUGAAAUCCCGAGGCUCAACCUCGGGCCUGCAGUGGGUACGGGCAAACUAGAGUGUGGUAGGGGAGACUGGAAUUCCUGGUGUAGCGGUGGAAUGCGCAGAUAUCAGGAGGAACACCGAUGGCGAAGGCAGGUCUCUGGGCCACUACUGACGCUGAGGAGCGAAAGCAUGGGGAGCGAACAGG